Hippocampus zosterae (dwarf seahorse) is the source of this 391-nucleotide long non-coding RNA. RefSeq lists it as uncharacterized. The record is from RefSeq and is a predicted model, not a curated record. NCBI's taxonomy places the organism in Eukaryota, Metazoa, Chordata, Actinopteri, Syngnathiformes, Syngnathidae. The transcript is spliced from 3 exons.
GUUCACAAACGCAUGACGUGCCUGCCGUUACUGUUUGUCUACCUUCUGCAUACGGGGACCAACAAAACUUGUGUCUUACGUGUUUUCCCAUUCAUUUUCAACACCGCCUAUCCUGAAGAGGGUCGCGGGGAGUUGCUGGAGGCUAUCCCUGCUGAUUCCGGGCGAAAGGCAGACUACACCCUGAAGUGGUCGUCGGUCAGUCGCAGGGCACAUAUCAAGACAAACAGCCAUUCACACCCUCAUCCACGCCGUCAUUGAGUCGGAACCGAUUCCACGUUGUCCGCACACAAGUGAGGAGCCGCACGUGAUUGGUCAUGAUCCGUGGUAGAAGAGGGAGGGGAGCGUGACACAGACGCUGCAGAGACGAGAAGGGGGAGGAGUUAGAGACACA